Molecule: ribosomal RNA, 522 nt
Filed under: Epilachna saginata
Lineage: Eukaryota; Metazoa; Arthropoda; Insecta; Coleoptera; Coccinellidae
Description: partial 16S ribosomal RNA
Rfam family: Bacterial large subunit ribosomal RNA (bases 384-522)
Source: RNAcentral
CUCUUUUUGAAUAUAAUUUAAAGUUGGGCCUGCCCACUGAAUAAAUUGAAGGGCCGCAGUAUUUUGACUGUGCAAAGGUAGCAUAAUCAUUAGUUUUUUAAUUGAAAGCUUGUAUGAAUGGUUUGAUGAAAAAAUUUCUGUCUCAAUAUUAUUUUUUUAGAAUUUUAUUUUUAAGUUAAAAAGCUUAAAUUUUAUAAAAAGACGAGAAGACCCUAUAGAGUUUAAUUUUAAAAAUUUAUUUUUAUUUAAGAAUUUUAUAUAAUAAUUAUUUUUUAGAAUUGUGUUGGGGUGAUUGAAAAAUUUAAGAAACUUUUUUUUUGUAAAACCAUUAAUUUAUGAAUUUUUGAUCCAUAUUAAUGAUUAAAAGAAAAAAUUACCUUAGGGAUAACAGCGUAAUUUUUUUUAAAAGUUCUUAUUAAAAAAAAAGAUUGCGACCUCGAUGUUGGAUUAAAAUUUAAUUUUGGUGUAGAAGCUAAAAUUUUAGGUCUGUUCGACCUUUAAUAUUUUACAUGAUCUGAGUUU